Molecule: transfer RNA, 66 nt
Filed under: Habrobracon hebetor
Lineage: Eukaryota; Metazoa; Arthropoda; Insecta; Hymenoptera; Braconidae
Description: tRNA-Asn
Source: RNAcentral
UUAAUUGAAACCAAAAUAGAGGUAAAUUAUUGUUAAUAAUUUUAUUGAAUUUAAAUUCCAAUUAAA